This 1312-nucleotide ribosomal RNA is filed under the name Baldinia droopii. RNAcentral's name for it is "partial large subunit ribosomal RNA". It matches the Rfam family "Eukaryotic large subunit ribosomal RNA", at positions 87 to 1357 of the family's 3401-position model. The record is from RNAcentral. Lineage: Eukaryota; Dinophyceae; Suessiales; Borghiellaceae.
UGGCGAAUGAACAGGGAUAAGCUCAGCGUGAAAAUUGAAGCCUUUGGCUUUGAGUUGUAGCCUUGCGAAGCAACACUAACAGAGGUGCAGGUGUAGGCCUCUUGGAAAAGAGCAGCUGUGCAGGUGAGAAUCCUUUGUGUCAUCUGCAGUCCUCUGUGCACAGUGUGCUCUCUGAGAGUCACGCUCCUUGGAAAUGGAGCGCCAAGUGGGUGGUAAGUUUCAUCUAAAGCUACACAUUGGCUUGAGACCGAUAGCAAACAAGUACCAUGAGGGAAAGGUGAAAAGGACUUUGGAAAGAGAGUUAAAAGUGCCUGAACUAGCUGAAUGGGAAGCGAAUGGAACCAGCAAUCUUGGCUGGAUUGUUGCGCGCCACUGUGAAUGCCAGUCAGUGCAGUGAGAGCAUGCUGGUUGGCAGGAAGCAGUUGGUGUGCAAUGUCUCGUGCCUUGAGAGUCAGUGUCUUUCUACUGCCAUGGAAAACUCUUGGAAAAUAACAAUUAACCUGUGGGUUUGUGAAUGUUCUGAGAAGAACCCAGCUGUAGACAGUCCAUGCAUGUCUGGGUGUCUCCUUGGCUCCUGCUGAGGUUCCCUGACCUGCAAAUGGUGACACAAUGGUUCUAUUUGACCCGUCUUGAAACACGGACCAAGGAGUCUAACACAUGUGCAAGUUCAUAGGUCAAAGCCUGUGUGCAUGACAAAAGUGACUGCUACGAUCUGUGCACUAGCAACCGACUGAUUAACUGGAUGAUGUUUGAGUAUGAGCACUUGUGUUAGGACCCGAAAGAUGGUGAACUAUGCCUGAGAAGGGCAAACUCAGGGGAAACUCUGAUGGAGGCUCGUAGCGAUACUGACGUGCAAAUCGUUCGUCAUACUUGGGUAUAGGGGCGAAAGACUAAUCGAACCAUCUAGUAGCUGGUUCCCUCCGAAGUUUCCCUCAGGAUAGCUGGAGUUGCAUAGUUUUAUCGGGUAAAGCGAAUGAUUAGAGGAAUCGGGGGCAUGUUGUCCUCGACCUAUUCUCAAACUUUAAAUGGGUAAGAUCCAGUGGUUACUUUGGUGAACUUCUGGGACAAAUAACAACUCUAAGUGGGCCAUUUUUGGUAAGCAGAACUGGCGAUGAGGGAUGAACCUAACGUUGGGCUAAGGUGCUUAACUGCACGCUCAUCAGAUACCAGAAAGGGUGUUGGUUCAUUUUAACAGCAGGACGGUGGUCAUGGAAGUCGAAACCCGCUAAGGAGUGUGUAACAACUCACCUGCCGAAUGGACUAGCCCUGAAAAUGGAUGGCGCUAAAGCGGGUGACCGAUGCCCAACCACUG